RNAcentral lists this ribosomal RNA (745 nucleotides) under uncultured bacterium. RNAcentral describes it as "bacterial SSU rRNA". It matches the Rfam family "Bacterial small subunit ribosomal RNA", at positions 33 to 773 of the family's 1533-position model. The record is from RNAcentral.
ACGCUGGCGGCAGGCCUAACACAUGCAAGUCGAGCGGUAGAGAGAAGCUUGCUUCUCUUGAGAGCGGCGGACGGGUGAGUAAUGCCUAGGAAUCUGCCUGGUAGUGGGGGAUAACGUUCGGAAACGGACGCUAAUACCGCAUACGUCCUACGGGAGAAAGCAGGGGACCUUCGGGCCUUGCGCUAUCAGAUGAGCCUAGGUCGGAUUAGCUAGUUGGUGAGGUAAUGGCUCACCAAGGCGACGAUCCGUAACUGGUCUGAGAGGAUGAUCAGUCACACUGGAACUGAGACACGGUCCAGACUCCUACGGGAGGCAGCAGUGGGGAAUAUUGGACAAUGGGCGAAAGCCUGAUCCAGCCAUGCCGCGUGUGUGAAGAAGGUCUUCGGAUUGUAAAGCACUUUAAGUUGGGAGGAAGGGCAGUUACCUAAUACGUGAUUGUUUUGACGUUACCGACAGAAUAAGCACCGGCUAACUCUGUGCCAGCAGCCGCGGUAAUACAGAGGGUGCAAGCGUUAAUCGGAAUUACUGGGCGUAAAGCGCGCGUAGGUGGUUUGUUAAGUUGGAUGUGAAAUCCCCGGGCUCAACCUGGGAACUGCAUUCAAAACUGACUGACUAGAGUAUGGUAGAGGGUGGUGGAUUUUCCUGUGUAGCGGUGAAAUGCGUAGAUAUAGGAAGGAACACCAGUGGCGAAGGCGACCACCUGGACUGAUACUGACACUGAGGUGCGAAAGCGUGGGGAGCAAAC